RNAcentral lists this transfer RNA (75 nucleotides) under Clostridia bacterium. RNAcentral's name for it is "tRNA-Cys". It matches the Rfam family "tRNA". From Rfam's summary of the family: Transfer RNA (tRNA) molecules are approximately 80 nucleotides in length. Their secondary structure includes four short double-helical elements and three loops (D, anti-codon, and T loops). Lineage: Bacteria; Bacillati; Bacillota; Clostridia. The record is from RNAcentral.
GGCGUCAUAGCCAAGCGGUAAGGCAGGGGUCUGCAAAACCCCGAUUCCCCGGUUCAAGUCCGGGUGGCGCCUCCA